AACGCCUUCUGCAGGAACUGGCAUCCCAAGAGCCCCAGAAUCCCUCUCAUGCCAAGAGCACAGAAGUAAAUAAGGCAGCCAGAGGGGGAGUUCAGCCAGCAGCUGCCACUGCAAACACGCAGCCAGCCCAGAAGGAAGCAGGAGGCUCUGAGAACACGAGCCACAAAGCAGAGGCCAGGAUCUCCUUCACAGUGUCUGGAGAGGAUGUUUGAGAAGAACUCUUGGCCAAGGAUGGAUUUCUAACCUCAGUGCCCGGAGCCCAUGUUACAGGGGAAAAGGAAAAUGCAGCUUGCAGAAAGGGACAUUUACAGUAUCUGAGGUAAGUUCUGGCAAGACCAAGUUAGGAAGGCCUGAGGAGUUAAAUGAACUGAAAAGGUAUUUAUGGGAAGGGAAGUAAUCAGCUUAACAGAAUGAAGAGGGGAGCAAGACCUGUGGACAGAUUUGAUUGCCAGGAACAGAGCCCAGCUGCCUUUCACAUCCCAGACAAACACAGUUUGCCUUGCAAUUGCUUUCAUUUUAUAAAAGCCACCAUCUGUAGAGAGAGGAAGCAGAAGGUCGAAGUGGAGGUAACAUAACCUCUUCCCUAUGCCAGUCCCAAAAUUUAAUCCUGCAAAAGCAGCAACCUGUAGACCAUGUAGGAGGCAAUUGCCUGUAUUUUGUGACAUCUGUUCUAGUUUCACUUGAAUAGAUAAUGCCAGACAGGUGAAACAGAGAAGUUAGAGGAAUGACUACAGAAGUGCAGAAAAAUAAAAAUGUUCUUAAAGGAUUGUGGGAGGCACCUAGUGGUACUGAUGCACUUAAAGAAUGUUAAUUGCCAAGUAGAUAACUGGAAUUUGAGAGUUUGAAAUGUGCUUAUUUUUAAAGGUCGUGGAAGGUCAGCUCUAAGUUCUUCCUUUCUCACUGGGAAGGUGCAAUGUCUCACAAAUUAUAGUACACAGAAAGAAAGCAGAGUUGAGCUGUUUUGUGCUUCCCAGUGUGCAUUUUUUGUGGUGUCAUUACCGAGGCUGUUAUCUGAAAA
Passer montanus (Eurasian tree sparrow) is the source of this 1018-nucleotide long non-coding RNA. RefSeq lists it as uncharacterized. The record is from RefSeq and is a predicted model, not a curated record. NCBI's taxonomy places the organism in Eukaryota, Metazoa, Chordata, Aves, Passeriformes, Passeridae. The transcript has 3 exons.